Molecule: non-coding RNA, 424 nt
Organism: Pantherophis guttatus
Lineage: Eukaryota; Metazoa; Chordata; Lepidosauria; Squamata; Colubridae
Source: RefSeq, a predicted model, not a curated record
UGCCCCCAUCCAUCCUCAACUUAGGAAAGUCACUCGGCGGAAGAGCGCAUGCGCGAAGUCCAUUUCUGCCCUGCCGUCGUCGAGGAAGGACCUGUUCAUCGCGGCUCCGGCGUAGAGGUCUCCAUCGGCUGGGUAGGCCUCGACUUCGGUCUUGGGGGUCCAGGUGCGCUCCGGAUGGUGGCGGUCAGCAGCGGCUUCAUCAGGGUGACGAUCCUGGCGGUGCUGGGGUCUCGGCGACGAAAGAUCAUCUCAACAACACUUGCAACAUCUGGAUCUGAAGAGCGAGGAGGAGCGUGCCCACCUUUUAUGCCAGAAGGCGGAGACUUAGGUAAGGAGGGGUUAGUGGGAGGAGCUGGACAGGUGGGAGUUUGGAUUAACCCCUGCACUGCUGCACUAUAGCUGACCCCUGGCACAGUUAAGGCAU